RNAcentral lists this ribosomal RNA (491 nucleotides) under Aeromonas caviae. RNAcentral's name for it is "partial 16S ribosomal RNA". The record is from RNAcentral. Lineage: Bacteria; Pseudomonadati; Pseudomonadota; Gammaproteobacteria; Aeromonadales; Aeromonadaceae.
ACGGAGUUAGSCGGUGCUUCUUCUGCGAGUACGUCACAGUCAGCAGAUAUUAGCUACUGACCUUUCCUCCUCGCUGAAAGUGCUUUACAACCCGAAGGCCUUCUUCACACACGCGGCAUGGCUGCAUCAGGGUUUCCCCCAUUGUGCAAUAUUCCCCACUGCUGCCUCCCGUAGGAGUCUGGACCGUGUCUCAGUUCCAGUGUGGCUGAUCAUCCUCUCAGACCAGCUAGGGAUCGUCGCCUUGGUGAGCCAUUACCUCACCAACUAGCUAAUCCCACCUGGGCAUAUCCAAUCGCGCAAGGCCCGAAGGUCCCCUGCUUUCCCCCGUAGGGCGUAUGCGGUAUUAGCAGUCGUUUCCAACUGUUAUCCCCCUCGACUGGGCAAUUUCCCAGGCAUUACUCACCCGUCCGCCGCUCGCCGGCAAAAGUAGCAAGCUACUUUCCCGCUGCCGCUCGACUUGCAUGUGUUAGGCCUGCCGCCAGCGUUCAAUC